GAUGAAGAACGUAGCGAAAUGCGAUAACUAAUGUGAAUUGCAGAAUUCAGUGAAUCAUCGAGUCUUUGAACGCACAUUGCGCCCCCUCGUAUUCCGGGGGGCAUGCCUGUCCGAGCGUCAUUGCUGCCCUCAAGCACGGCUUGUGUGUUGGGCUCCGUCCCCCCGGGGACGGGCCCGAAAGGCAGCGGCGGCACCGAGUCCGGUCCUCGAGCGUAUGGGGCUUUGUCACCCGCUCUGUAGGCCCGGCCGGCGCCAGCCGACAACCCAUCAUCCUUUUCAGGUUGACCUCGGAUCAGGUAGGGAUACCCGCUGAACUUAAGCAUAUCAAUAAGCGGAGGA
RNAcentral lists this unclassified non-coding RNA (339 nucleotides) under soil metagenome. RNAcentral describes it as "partial contains 5.8S ribosomal RNA, internal transcribed spacer 2, and large subunit ribosomal RNA". The stretch from base 1 to 120 matches the Rfam family "5.8S ribosomal RNA", at positions 35 to 154 of the family's 154-position model. The record is from RNAcentral.